This 58-nucleotide transfer RNA is filed under the name Pogona henrylawsoni. Its description in RNAcentral is "tRNA-Cys". Lineage: Eukaryota; Metazoa; Chordata; Lepidosauria; Squamata; Agamidae. The record is from RNAcentral.
GGUUUAAAAAGAAUAUUUGAGUGCAAAUCAAAUGGUGGGCCUUGAGGGUCCUUGAACC